UGGGGAAUAUUGCACAAUGGGGGAAACCCUGAUGCAGCGACGCCGCGUGAGUGAAGAAGUAUUUCGGUACGUAAAGCUCUAUCAGCAGGGAAGAAAAUGACGGUACCUGACUAAGAAGCCCCGGCUAACUACGUGCCAGCAGCCGCGGUAAUACGUAGGGGGCAAGCGUUAUCCGGAUUUACUGGGUGUAAAGGGAGCGUAGACGGCAGCGCAAGUCUGGAGUGAAAUCCCAUGGCUUAACCAUGGAACUGCUUUGGAAACUGUGCAGCUGGAGUGCAGGAGAGGUAAGCGGAAUUCCUAGUGUAGCGGUGAAAUGCGUAGAUAUUAGGAGGAACACCAGUGGCGAAGGCGGCCUGCUGGACUGCAACUGACGUUGAGGCCCGAAAGCGUGGGGAGCAAACAGG
Molecule: ribosomal RNA, 404 nt
Filed under: uncultured bacterium
Lineage: Bacteria
Description: bacterial SSU rRNA
Rfam family: Bacterial small subunit ribosomal RNA
Source: RNAcentral